AACGAACGCUGGCGGCAUGCCUAACACAUGCAAGUCGAACGAGACCUUCGGGUCUAGUGGCGCACGGGUGCGUAACGCGUGGGAAUCUGCCCUUGGGUUCGGCAUAACAGUUGGAAACGCCUGCUAAUACCGGAUGAUGACGUAAGUCCAAAGAUUUAUCGCCCAGGGAUGAGCCCGCGUAGGAUUAGCUAGUUGGUGGGGUAAAGGCCUACCACGGCGACGAUACUUAGCUGGUCUGAGAGGAUGAGCAGCCACACUGGGACUGAGACACGGCCCAGACUCCUACGGGAGGCAGCAGUGGGGAAUAUUGGACAACGGGCGAAAGGCUGAACCAGCAAGGCCGCGUGAGUGAUGAAGGCCUUAGGGUUGUAAAACUCUUUUACCCGGGAUGAUAAUGACAGUACCGGGAGAAUAAGCCCCGGCUAACUCCGUG
Molecule: ribosomal RNA, 433 nt
Filed under: uncultured bacterium
Lineage: Bacteria
Description: partial 16S ribosomal RNA
Rfam family: Bacterial small subunit ribosomal RNA
Source: RNAcentral